GCAAGUCGAACGGCAGCACGGAGAGCUUGCUCUCUGGUGGCGAGUGGCGAACGGGUGAGUAAUAUAUCGGAACGUGUCCAAUAAUGGGGGAUAACGAGUCGAAAGAUUCGCUAAUACCGCAUACGCCCUACGGGGGAAAGCAGGGGAUCGUAAGACCUUGCGUUAAUGGAGCGGCCGAUAUCUGAUUAGCUUGUUGGUGAGGUAAAGGCUCACCAAGGCGACGAUCAGUAGCUGGUUUGAGAGAACGACCAGCCACACUGGAACUGAGACACGGUCCAGACUCCUACGGGAGGCAGCAGUGGGGAAUUUUGGACAAUGGGGGCAACCCUGAUCCAGCCAUUCCGCGUGAGUGAAGAAGGCCUUCGGGUUGUAAAGCUCUUUCGCAAGGGAAGAAAACUUAUGAUCGAAUAAAUCAUGAGGUUGACGGUACCUUGAUAAGAAGCACCGGCUAACUACGUGCCAGCAGCCGCGGUAAUACGUAGGGUGCGGGCGUUAAUCGGAAUUACUGGGCGUAAAGCGUGCGCAGGCGGUUUUGUAAGUCGGAUGUGAAAUCCCCGGGCUCAACCUGGGAACUGCGUUCGAAACUGCAAGGCUAGAGUGUGUCAGAGGGGGGUAGAAUUCCACGUGUAGCAGUGAAAUGCGUAGAGAUGUGGAGGAAUACCAAUGGCGAAGGCAGCCCCCUGGGAUAACACUGACGCUCAUGCACGAAAGCGUGGGGAGCAAACAGGAUUAGAUACCCUGGUAGUCCACGCCCUAAACGAUGUCAACUAGUUGUUGGUAGAGUAAAAUCUAUGAGUAACGUAGCUAACGCGUGAAGUUGACCGCCUGGGGAGUACGGUCGCAAGAUUAAAACUCAAAGGAAUUGACGGG
RNAcentral lists this ribosomal RNA (870 nucleotides) under uncultured beta proteobacterium. RNAcentral's name for it is "bacterial SSU rRNA". It matches the Rfam family "Bacterial small subunit ribosomal RNA", at positions 57 to 917 of the family's 1533-position model. Lineage: Bacteria; Pseudomonadati; Pseudomonadota; Betaproteobacteria. The record is from RNAcentral.